UCCCUGGUGGUCCAGUGGUUAAGACACCACACUUCCAAUGUAGGGGACCCAGGGACCUGGGUUGGAUCCCUGGUUGGGGAA
Molecule: transfer RNA, 81 nt
Organism: Ovis aries (sheep)
Lineage: Eukaryota; Metazoa; Chordata; Mammalia; Artiodactyla; Bovidae
Rfam family: tRNA
About the family: Transfer RNA (tRNA) molecules are approximately 80 nucleotides in length. Their secondary structure includes four short double-helical elements and three loops (D, anti-codon, and T loops).
Source: Rfam